Molecule: unclassified non-coding RNA, 258 nt
Filed under: Chytridiomycota sp.
Lineage: Eukaryota; Fungi; Chytridiomycota
Description: partial contains small subunit ribosomal RNA, internal transcribed spacer 1, and 5.8S ribosomal RNA
Rfam family: Eukaryotic small subunit ribosomal RNA (bases 1-47)
Source: RNAcentral
AAAGUCGUAACAAGGUAACCGUAGGUGAACCUGCGGUUGGAUCAUUACAAAAUUGGUAUCUUACCAAAACACUGUGUGCACCAUAACUGUUCUUGGUAGCGUAUUGUGGAUGGGUCAUGUAAACUGGCCUUCUGGGCCUACUGACCCUUCUCGAUCGCUGCCGCAUGUCCAAACAUUGUAUUUCAAAAUUUUAGUCUGAAUCAGUUCACCACAAAGUGAAAUGAAAAACAACUUUUGACAACGGAUCUCUUGGCUCUC